CAGCCGCCGCGGUAAUACGUAGGGGGCAAGCGUUAUCCGGAAUCACUGGGUGUAAAGGGUGCGUAGGCGGUUAUGUAAGUCAGAUGUGAAAUACCGAAGCUCAACUUCGGGGCUGCAUUUGAAACUGUGUGACUAGAGUACAGGAGAGGUAAGUGGAAUUCCUAGUGUAGCGGUGAAAUGCGUAGAUAUUAGGAAGAACACCAGUGGCGAAGGCGACUUACUGGACUGAAACUGACGCUGAGGCACGAAAGCGUGGGGAGCAAACAGGAUUAGAUACCCUGGUAGUCCACGCUGUAAACGAUGAAUGCUAGGUGUUGGCGGGAGACCGUCGGUGCCGCAGUUAACACAAUAAGCAUUCCACCUGGGGAGUACGAUCGCAAGAUUGAAACUCAAAGGAAUUGACGGGGGCCCGCACAAGCGGUGGAGUAUGUGGUUUAAUUCGAAGCAACGCGAAGAACCUUACCAAGACUUGACAUCCCUUUGAAUAAGCUUGUAAUGAGCUUAGCCUUUCGGGGCAAAGGUGACAGGAGGUGCAUGGCC
This 540-nucleotide ribosomal RNA is filed under the name uncultured archaeon. Its description in RNAcentral is "bacterial SSU rRNA". It matches the Rfam family "Bacterial small subunit ribosomal RNA", at positions 509 to 1050 of the family's 1533-position model. The record is from RNAcentral.